Molecule: ribosomal RNA, 332 nt
Filed under: uncultured Gemmatimonadota bacterium
Lineage: Bacteria; Pseudomonadati; Gemmatimonadota
Description: bacterial SSU rRNA
Rfam family: Bacterial small subunit ribosomal RNA
Source: RNAcentral
CGCGUAGGCGGUUUUUCAAGCGUGCGGUGAAAGCUCAGGGCUCAACCCUGAGUCGGCCGUGCGAACUGGGAGACUGGAGCACGGUAGAGGCACAUGGAAUUCCGGGUGUAGCGGUGGAAUGCGUAGAGAUCCGGAAGAACACCGGUGGCGAAGGCGGUGUGCUGGGCCGUUGCUGACGCUGAGGCGCGACAGCGUGGGGAGCAAACAGGAUUAGAUACCCUGGUAGUCCACGCCGUAAACGAUGGGCACUAGGUCCUUGGGGGAGCGACCCCUUGAGGGCCGGCGCAAACGCAUUAAGUGCCCCGCCUGGGGAGUACGGCCGCAAGGCUGAA